GAUGAACGCUAGCGGCAGGCCUAAUACAUGCAAGUCGGACGGGAUUGAGAAGCUUGCUUUUCAUGAGAGUGGCGCACGGGUGCGUAACACGUAUGUAACCUACCCAUAUCAGGGGGAUAGCCUCUCGAAAGAGAGAUUAAGACCGCAUAACAUUAUUGAAUGGCAUCAUUUAAUAAUCAAAUAUUUAUAGGAUAUGGAUGGGCAUGCGGAACAUUAGCUAGUUGGUAAGGUAACGGCUUACCAAGGCUACGAUGUUUAGGGGAUCUGAGAGGAUGACCGCCCACACGGGUACUGAGACACGGACCAGACUCCUACGGGAGGCAGCAGUAAGGAAUAUUGGUCAAUGGACGGAAGUUUGAACCAGCCAUGCCGCGUGCAGGAAGACGGCCCUAUGGGUUGUAAACUGCUUUUGCAGGGGAAUAAACCUCGAUACGUGUAUCGAGCUGAAUGUACUCUGAGAAUAAGGAUCGGCUAACUCCGUGCCAGCCGCCGCGGUAA
Molecule: ribosomal RNA, 498 nt
Filed under: uncultured bacterium
Lineage: Bacteria
Description: partial 16S ribosomal RNA
Rfam family: Bacterial small subunit ribosomal RNA
Source: RNAcentral